ACGGAAGGCAGCAGUGAGGGAUAUUGCACAAUGGGCGAAAGCCUGAUGCAGCAACGCCGCGUGAGGGAUGACGGUCUUCGGAUUGUAAACCUCUGUCUUCAGUGAAGAUAAUGACAUUAGCUGAGGAGGAAGCCACGGCUAACUACGUGCCAGCAGCCGCGGUAAUACGUAGGUGGCAAGCGUUGUCCGGAUUUACUGGGUGUAAAGGGAGCGCAGGCGGAGAAGCAAGUCAGUGGUGAAAUGCAUGGGCUUAACCCGUGAACUGCCAUUGAAACUGUUUCCCUUGAGUGAAGUAGAGGCAAGCGGAAUUCCGAGUGUAGCGGUGAAAUGCGUAGAUAUUCGGAGGAACACCAGUGGCGAAGGCGGCUUGCUGGGCUUUUACUGACGCUGAGGCUCGAAAGUGUGGGGAGCAAACAGGAUUAGAUACCCUGGUA
This 434-nucleotide ribosomal RNA is filed under the name uncultured Oscillospiraceae bacterium. RNAcentral's name for it is "partial 16S ribosomal RNA". It matches the Rfam family "Bacterial small subunit ribosomal RNA", at positions 341 to 792 of the family's 1533-position model. The record is from RNAcentral. Lineage: Bacteria; Bacillati; Bacillota; Clostridia; Eubacteriales; Oscillospiraceae.